This 253-nucleotide ribosomal RNA is filed under the name uncultured bacterium. Its description in RNAcentral is "partial 16S ribosomal RNA". It matches the Rfam family "Bacterial small subunit ribosomal RNA", at positions 524 to 776 of the family's 1533-position model. The record is from RNAcentral.
UACGUAGGGGGCUAGCGUUGUCCGGAUUUAUUGGGCGUAAAGAGCGUGUAGGCGGCCAGGUAGGUCUGGUGUGAAAACUCGAGGCUUAACCUCGAGAUGUCAUCGGAAACCAUCUGGCUAGAGUCCGGAAGAGGAGAGUGGAAUUCCUGGUGUAGCGGUGAAAUGCGCAGAUAUCAGGAAGAACACCAAUGGCGAAAGCAGCUUUCUGGGACGGUACUGACGCUGAGGCGCGACAGCGUGGGGAGCAAACAGG